AGUGAACGCUGGCGGUAGGCCUAACACAUGCAAGUCGAACGGCAGCACAGUAAGAGCUUGCUCUUACGGGUGGCGAGUGGCGGACGGGUGAGGAAUACAUCGGAAUCUACUUUUUCGUGGGGGAUAACGUAGGGAAACUUACGCUAAUACCGCAUACGACCUACGGGUGAAAGCAGGGGAUCUUCGGACCUUGCGCGAUUGAAUGAGCCGAUGUCGGAUUAGCUAGUUGGCGGGGUAAAGGCCCACCAAGGCGACGAUCCGUAGCUGGUCUGAGAGGAUGAUCAGCCACACUGGAACUGAGACACGGACCAGACUCCUACGGGAGGCAGCAGUGGGGAAUAUUGGACAAUGGGCGCAAGCCGGAUCCAGCCAUACCGCGUGGGUGAAGAAGGCCUUCGGGUUGUAAAGCCCUUUUGUUGGGAAAGAAAAGCAGCAGGUUAAUACCCCGCUGUUCUGACGGUACCCAAAGAAUAAGCACCGGCUAACUUCGUG
RNAcentral lists this ribosomal RNA (492 nucleotides) under uncultured bacterium. RNAcentral's name for it is "partial 16S ribosomal RNA". It matches the Rfam family "Bacterial small subunit ribosomal RNA", at positions 29 to 507 of the family's 1533-position model. The record is from RNAcentral.